Arachis ipaensis is the source of this 1537-nucleotide non-coding RNA. Lineage: Eukaryota; Viridiplantae; Streptophyta; Magnoliopsida; Fabales; Fabaceae. The record is from RefSeq and is a predicted model, not a curated record.
AAUGAACAAGGCCUUUCUUUGCCAGAAAAAGAAUAAAUAUACAAGGCCCAAUAUGCCAACAUCACGAGACAAACCCAACUUUGUGCGGGCCCAAUGUAUAUUAAGUUUGAUCUCAAUAAAAAUAAAAGUAUCCACGUACAAGGCCCAAUACGCCAACAUCACGAGACAUAACUCUUUCCACCUGAACAUGGGGCUAGGGAUUCAUUAUUCAUGAAAUGUGUUCCGCUAUCAUAUGCGGUGGCAUUGUUGGUGGAAGCGAACCCUAAACAAUUAGCGGGAGACUCUAUUCCGGUAUAGUGGGUUCAACAGUCCCAACGGGGUUUUCAUGUCCUUGGUGCCCCAUGGACACCACACACUGAUCUUAUCAAUACUGUCACUAUGAUUGGGUCAAUGGUUGCUUCAAAACUGAUGGCUCCGCGUAUAUGGUACUUCCCAUCUAACUUUUUCUGAUGAGGUCCUCAGCGAUGCUCAUAUGGAUCGGCUGGAGGUUGCAUACACACUACCUUGGAUGCCAGAAAUGAAUGAUCUCCACUAUGUGAGUUAUUUCCCCUUGUAUUGCAUGCGAACGAGGUCUUAUAUUGAAAGAUGUUGAGUCCAACUCCUGCCUUAUAAUAAUGUCUGCAUUGCAAGUCUUUGUGCCCAUCUAGGAGCCAGCAGAUGUGUGGUAUCUGAUGAUUCUUGAUGUUAAGGAAGCAAGGGUCUAUGCCUUUGACGUGAACAAAACCCUCAAAAGUAUUAUUAGAAGAGAGGCCAACAUGACUCGCAUUGUGAGUAUAGUUUGUCGCGCUUUGGGAAAGUUAGUCAUGUUGAAUUAGAAUCUGGUCAACUUUAGGAAUGGCACCCCAAAUUCGGUAAAAUUGGGGCAAGUGCUACAACCCAGCUGGUCUGCCGACGAAUGUCGAUGGCAUGGACAUUGCGGUUUGGUGCCUUUAUUGGCUCCUCUACAAAGGCAGAAUUAGUCCGAGGAUCUUCAAUCCGAUGGCCAAUGCCAAAACUGUUAGGAUGAAGGCAACUGUCAAGAUAAUUCAGUCCGUUGGGAACGAGGAAGGAGGAUCGGUGGAUGUUCGGUCACGACUGAACUAGUUGGAUGUCAUAUCUUUCAACUAAUGCUACCAUAUAUCCAAUUGUUGUCACUUAUGUUAUUUUGGGAAAAAUUUCAAUUAAGUAUAUACGCCGCUAAGUUUAUUUUGGUAGUUUGAGUAAAAGGUGAUGACUCCAACUUGUUGCUCCUUGUGCCUCUGGACUAAAGGCCCUUAUGAACCAUCUUGUUAAUUGUGUUUGGCGAGGUUUAGGACAAGCUAGAACCUCAUAGCCUUGUUUAUGUCAAUAGUAUCCUAGAAGACACCUCAUGUGUCAAGUAUAAACUUUAUUAAGUUGUACCUAGGAAAUCAGCUGCUCCUGCAGCAACUAAACCAAGUCCAGCCAUGCCUUGGAUGAUUGGCCUUAUUUUAGUUGUGUGAGGCUAAAUCUCCAUGUACGGUUUGCAUAUGUGAAAAAUUUAUAAAAUGUUGCUUCGUAUUAUGUAUUUCGAUUGGCA